Molecule: ribosomal RNA, 240 nt
Filed under: uncultured bacterium
Lineage: Bacteria
Description: partial 16S ribosomal RNA
Rfam family: Bacterial small subunit ribosomal RNA
Source: RNAcentral
GAUCAUGGCUCAGGAUGAACGCUAGCGACAGGCCUAACACAUGCAAGUCGAGGGGCAGCGGAGAGGUAGCAAUACCUUUGCCGGCGACCGGCGCACGGGUGAGUAACACGUAUGCAAUCCACCUGUAACAGGGGGAUAACCCGGAGAAAUCCGGACUAAUACCCCAUAAUAUGGGCUCUCCGCACGGAGGGUCCAUUAAAGAGAGCAAUUUUGGUUACAGACGAGCAUGCGCUCCAUUAG